Non-coding RNA from Phoenix dactylifera (date palm), 388 nucleotides. NCBI's taxonomy places the organism in Eukaryota, Viridiplantae, Streptophyta, Magnoliopsida, Arecales, Arecaceae. The record is from RefSeq and is a predicted model, not a curated record.
CCAGCCAAGAGCUCAAAUACAUCUAAAAAUGACCACACAAAGUAUCCUCUCACAUCCGAUCCAUUCCUGCAGAAAUGAACAAGGACCAUUGACACAUGCGCAGUAAAUUGGGGAAGUGAAAGUCAAGAAAGAAGGAUAAGAAGAAAGGGAUCUUAUUGAUUCAAGUUCAGGCUGCAUCUAAUACCUGCUAAAUUUUCUCAUAAAAAAUGUAAAUGUUUCAAACCUUUCUUCUUGUAUUGGCCUGCAAAAGAAUCAUGCUAUUUUUUUAUGACAAACAUGUAAACAUAUGCAGGCCGAAGCUCCACAUAAGCCAAACUCUUGGAACUUGCAAAAUGAAAUGGCAGCUUGGCUUGGCUUGAUAGCAAGCUCGCUGUGGUUUGGUAAUUUA